RNAcentral lists this ribosomal RNA (253 nucleotides) under uncultured bacterium. Its description in RNAcentral is "partial 16S ribosomal RNA". It matches the Rfam family "Bacterial small subunit ribosomal RNA", at positions 524 to 776 of the family's 1533-position model. The record is from RNAcentral.
UACAGAGGGUGCGAGCGUUGUCCGGAAUCACUGGGCGUAAAGGGCGCGUAGGUGGCCCGGUCAGUUCGUGGUGAAAGCGCGGGGCUCAACUCCGCGUCGGCCAUGAAUACUGCUGGGCUGGAGCACUGUAGAGGCAGGCGGAAUUCCGGGUGUAGCGGUGGAAUGCGUAGAGAUCCGGAAGAACACCGGUGGCGAAGGCGGCCUGCUGGGCAGUGGCUGACACUGAUAGACGAAAGCUAGGGGAGCAAAUGGG